RNAcentral lists this ribosomal RNA (3063 nucleotides) under Triticum aestivum (bread wheat). RNAcentral describes it as "partial small subunit ribosomal RNA". Lineage: Eukaryota; Viridiplantae; Streptophyta; Magnoliopsida; Poales; Poaceae. The record is from RNAcentral.
AUGGCGGCGGCGGCGGCGCCGGUGUCCGGCCAUCUCCGGGCGCGGUGCCCCUGCUCGCCCUUCCGCCACCGUCGGCCGGUUGCUCCGGCCCUUCCCCGCCGAACAAGGCAACACUAUUCCAAUAGUUCAGACAUUGGAAUUAGAGAAAGCGGGGAUUUCAGGCUUGGAUUUUAUGCCAACUUUAAUGUGCAAAGUAGCAAACAAGAAUGGAUGAAUGAGAGCAGGAAGAUGUUUUAUCUCAGAACCACCAACGGUGUCAGCAAUAACAUCCACAAUGGAGCCACUCCUCUAAGGGCUGAAGAUCUAAAUCAUGAACAACCCUCGGGUUCAACCUAUCCUUCCAUGUAUAACAAUCCAAGAGAAAGAGUGCCAUCUAAAUCAACUGUGAAUAGAUAUGCCAAUACAGAUUUGGUCAAGUGUAGUUUGACAAAUCGGUUUGCCCAUGCUGUGUCGACCCCAACGAGUGUUGUUAACAAUCACAACAAACUAUCGAGCAUGCCUAGUAGCUCUAAGGGGGAGAUUUCUUUGCAUGAUUGGUCAUCCAUGGAAGCCCCUCUGCCUAAUUUCUCAAAUACGGAGGCAACUUCAGAAUUUGAUGGCAAUGCUAAUGUUGGGUAUGAGAAUAAACACAAACUUUUUGCCAAAAAGGUGGCUCCAUCUUCCCCAGAAAAAAUAUCCUUGACCAAUGAGUCUAAAAGCACACGGAAGGCCCUUGCUGGCAUCUAUGACGAAGUUUUGGUUGUUGACAAUAUCAACUCAGCUGAGAAUGUUGUUCGAUUGCUUACUACAAAGUACAAAAGCUUUGUUCAUGCAUGCGACACAGAGGUAGCAAAUAUUGAUGUCAAAAAAGAGACACCGGUUGAUCAUGGAGAAGUAAUAUGCUUUAGCAUCUAUUCAGGAAAUUUGGAUGCACAUGCCGAUUUUGGAAAUGGCAAAACAUGCAUUUGGGUGGAUGUGCUAGACGGUGGGAGGGAUGUCUUGAUGGCGUUUGCUCCAUUCUUCGAGGACAUGUCUAUCAAGAAGGUUUGUCAUAACUAUAGUUUUGAUAGUCAUGUCAUUGAGAAUUAUGGAAUCAAGGUGGCUGGGUUUCAUGCUGAUACAAUGCAUCUUGCACGCCUUUGGGAUUCUAACAGGAGAAUCGAUGGUGGAUAUUCACUCGAAGGACUUACAAAUGACCUGAGAGUCAUGAGUGAUGUUGGAAAUGAUUUAAUUAAAACUGGAAAGGUAUCAAUGAAAACAAUCUUUGGUACAAAAAAGAUUAGAAAAGACGGAGGUGAAGGGAAAAUUGUAUAUAUUGAACCAGUAGAAAAGCUGCAAAGGGAAGACAGAAAGAUGUGGAUUUGCUAUUCAUCAUUGGAUUCAGUCAAUACACUGAAGAUUUAUGAAAGCCUGAAAAGCAAGCUUGAAGCAAAAGAAUGGAUUUUCGAUGGUUGUCCUAGAGGAACAAUGUACGAUUUCUAUGAAGAGUAUUGGCGUCCCUUUGGUUCCCUUCUUGUGAAGAUGGAAACAGAGGGAAUGCUUGUUGAUCGUGCUUACCUCUCAGAGAUCGAGAAAACUGCUGCUGCUGAGCGGAAAUUGGCUGCAAAUAAAUUCAGGCAAUGGGCAUCUGAAUAUUGUCCAGAUGCCAAGUACAUGAAUGUGAAUAGUGAUAUACAACUUCGCCAGCUUUUCUUUGCUGGCAUUGAGAACAGGCAUAAACAUGGUGAGACCUGGCCACAAAGUAAAAUGUUUAAAGUGCGAAAUGAUGAAAACGUAGCUCCAGAGGGCCAGAAGGCUUCGAAGUUCCGCACAAUCGAACUUUCUGGUAUUGUGGAAGAUCUGAAAAUUGAUAUGUUCGCCCCAAAUGGGUGGCCUUCAGUCAGCAUUGAUGCAUUGAAAAUAUUGUCUGGUAAGAUACCCAUGGAUCAAAUUUACACAAUAGAAGACGACCAAGAGCGAGAUGAAUAUAGCAAUGGUUCAGAACUUCCCGAGCAGGAUAUAGAAGCGGCAUCAUCAUAUGGAAUUGCAUAUGAACCGUUUGGUGGAGGAAAGAAGGGAACAGAAGCAUGCCAUGCCAUUGCGGCUCUGUGUGAAAGGUCCUCUAUCGACAAGUUGAUAUCCAGCUUCAUUCUUCCCCUGCAGGGAGAUAAUAUAUCAUGCAAGGAAGGGCGCAUUCACUGCUCGCUAAAUAUCAACACUGAGACAGGGCGCUUAUCAGCACGAAUACCAAAUUUGCAGAAUCAACCUGCACUUGAAAAGGAUCGAUAUAAGAUCCGCCAAGCUUUUGUUGCAGCUCCAGGGAACUCUCUUGUUGUUGCUGAUUAUGGCCAGCUGGAGCUGAGAAUCUUAGCCCAUCUUACUAGUUGUAAAAGCAUGCUGGAUGCUUUCAAGGCUGGUGGUGACUUUCAUUCUAGAACAGCCAUGAAUAUGUACGAGCAUGUACGUGAUGCUGUUCACGAAAAGAAAGUACUUCUUGAGUGGCAACCUCAACCAGGUCAAGAGAAGCCUCCAGUGCCAUUGUUGAAGGAUGCUUUUGGUGCUGAGAGAAGGAAGGCUAAAAUGCUUAAUUUCUCUAUUGCAUAUGGAAAGACAGCUCAGGGACUAUCCCGUGAUUGGCAGGUGUCUGUCAAGGAGGCAAGGGAUACACUCAAACUCUGGUACAGAGAUCGAAAAGAAGUUUCAGCUUGGCAAAAGAGGCAGAAAGAGCUUGCUCGUGAAAAAUGCGAAGUAUACACAUUGCUAGGACGGUCACGCCGCUUUCCUAACAUGACUCACGCACCCCAUGGUCAAAAAGGUCAUGUUGAUCGUGCUGCUAUAAAUGCACCAGUGCAGGGCAGUGCAGCAGAUGUUGCCAUGUGUGCAAUGCUUGAGAUAGAAAGAAAUGCUCGCCUUAAGGAGCUUGGUUGGAGACUCCUAUUACAGGUGCACGAUGAAGUGAUACUGGAGGGGCCUACAGAAUCUGCUGAAGCGGCCAGGGCCAUCGUGGCAGAGUGCAUGUCCAAACCCUUCUAUGGAACCAACAUCCUGAAGGUGGACCUGGCUGUUGACGCCAAGUGUGGAAAGAGUUGGUAUGACGCCAAGUAG